GGUGCAAGCGUUGUCCGGAAUUAUUGGGCGUAAAGAGCUCGUAGGCGGUUUGUCACGUCUGCUGUGAAAUCCCGAGGCUCAACCUCGGGCUUGCAGUGGGUACGGGCAGACUAGAGUGCGGUAGGGGAGAUUGGAAUUCCUGGUGUAGCGGUGGAAUGCGCAGAUAUCAGGAGGAACACCGAUGGCGAAGGCAGAUCUCUGGGCCGUAACUGACGCUGAGGAGCGAAAGCAUGGGGAGCAAACAGGCUUAGAUACCCUGGUAGUCCAUGCCGUAAACGUUGGGAACUAGAUGUGGGGACCAUUCCACGGUCUCCGUGUCGUAGCUAACGCAUUAAGUUCCCCGCCUGGGGAGUACGGCCGCAAGGCUAAAACUCAAAGGAAUUGACGGGGGCCCGCACAAGCGGCGGAGCAUGCGGAUUAAUUCGAUGCAACGCGAAGAACCUUACCAAGGCUUGACAUAUGCGAGAACGCACUGGAGACAGUGAACUCUUUGGACACUCGUAUACAGGUGGUGCAUGGUUGUCGUCAGCUCGUGUCGUGAGAUGUUGGGUUAAGUCCCGCAACGAGCGCAACCCUCGUCCUAUGUUGCCAGCACGUAAUGGUGGGAACUCAUGGGAUACUGCCGGGGUCAACUCGGAGGAAGGUGGGGAUGAGGUCAAAUCAUCAUGCCCCUUAUGUCUUGGGCUUCACGCAUGCUACAAUGGCCGGUACAAUGGGCUGCGAUACCGUAAGGUGGAGCGAAUCCCAAAAAGCCGGUCUCAGUUCGGAUUGAGGUCUGCAACUCGACCUCAUGAAGUCGGAGUCGCUAGUAAUCGUAGAUC
RNAcentral lists this ribosomal RNA (821 nucleotides) under uncultured Actinomycetes bacterium. RNAcentral's name for it is "bacterial SSU rRNA". It matches the Rfam family "Bacterial small subunit ribosomal RNA", at positions 531 to 1350 of the family's 1533-position model. Lineage: Bacteria; Bacillati; Actinomycetota; Actinomycetes. The record is from RNAcentral.